Long non-coding RNA from Onychomys torridus (southern grasshopper mouse), 431 nucleotides. RefSeq lists it as uncharacterized. Lineage: Eukaryota; Metazoa; Chordata; Mammalia; Rodentia; Cricetidae. The record is from RefSeq and is a predicted model, not a curated record. The transcript has 3 exons.
CCGGCUUCAUUCUUCUGAGAAGGUCCGCCGCCAUCGUCAGCCUUGUGUGUUCAUUCUUAAACGAUGCUGAAGCUACCAUCAAAGACUGAGAUCCCAAAGAGAUGGAGAUCACCCAUGAAGCUGCCCAUUGUCCGCUGAGACAGGACAGCAGGAGGAGGAAGGCACCAUGCUUACUCGGUGAGAUGACCACGGAGCCACGACUUUGUUUUCUUCUACCGGAUUCAACUUGUACUUCAACUUUACAUCCAGGUUUCGAGGGAAAUCCCCACUGCUCCUCCUUUGCCGUGUGGUGCUGCUUAGGGGUGACCACAUGGACUGGCAGGCUCCCCAAACCUUUAUAUACUAGUUUCCCCAGUGAGUCCUGAAAGCCAAGGCUGUCUCUGGUCACACUAGAAGAAAAAGGAGGAAAUAAAAUGGUUAUUGUGCAGUAA